GAUCAGAAUUUAAGUCAGACUUUUUUUAUCUGGGAGAAGACUCCACGAAGCAUGGGCAGCAGAAAGGCGGAAUGAGAAAGAAAAGAGAAGGAAGCUAUUAAAUGUGCCUUAUCAUGCAGAAUACCGCUAUGGGCAACUGGGUUCAAUCCCCAGAGGAAUUCUGGGAAACUGUGUAGAAGGUACCUCAGAAUGGCCCCUCAUCAAGUAGAGCAUCUGAAAUUUGAGCUACCUUCUGGAUCAUCUGUGUAAGGAUAAUGGGUGCAUGAGUUCUAGAUGAUGGCUACACCACAGCCAGCAAGUCCUUCGGAGAAAGAGUUACAACAUCUUCAAAAGGUUGCAAUGAGAUAAUCUCAGAGUGUGGACUUAGAGUUUCUAUGAAACAUGGUCAAGGCGUAGUGAAGUAAAUUCACAUAUGCUGUCUGAUUCCUCAUCCUUGGUUUAGCAUUUUUAAUCAGUGGUUUUCAUCUGCUGAUCUCUUCUUGCUCCUGACUAUUGUACCAUCUUUCUCUGCUGACCCAGUGAAAAAGCAGUUCUAAGUUGCUAAUUAAUAAGGAAAGAAAGCCUGCAGGGCUGGGCAGGCCACUAUGCCAGUUCCAAAAUUUGGAAGCAGCCACGUUUUGUUUAUCAGAGAGAGAUAUUAUUCCUUUUACAACUGGAAAUUCUCAUCCCUCAAGGCCUGUAGUGAGAUUGUUUUGGUGGUUUGAUGGUCAUCAGGGACUCAGGCUCCUUCUGUUCUUUUUUCUUUCUUUCUUUCUUUUUUUUUUUAAGAUUUUAUUUAUUUAUUUGAGAGGUAGAGAUCACAAGUGGCCAGAGAGGCAGGCAGAGAGAGAGAGAGGAGGAAGCAGGCUCCCUGCCGAGCAGAGAGCCCGAUGCGGGGCUCAAUCCCAGGACCCCGGGAUCGCAACCUGAGCUGAAGGCAGAAGCCUUAACCCACUGAGCCACCCAGGCGCCCCUCUGUUCUUUUUUUACCAUCUUAUACAUGACCCAAAUAACCUCUUGGUCCAAGAUGGCUGAUAAAACUCAAGCCAUUACUUCCAGGAAGAGAGAAGGAUGAGAGGAUCCUCCCAGCAGAAUCAACUCUCCCUUUAAGCAGCCAUCCCUCAAAUUCAAUGCAACACUCUAAUGAAUAGAACUUACUUUGUCAGAGAGGCUGAAAGAUAAUUUGUUAGCUAGGUACAUAGCCAUCCCUCAAAAAACCUGGGGUUCUCUUAUUCACAAAGAAGGCAAGAAGAUACAGGUUAAGCACCUAACAGUAUAUGCCAUGCUGCAUUUGUUUUACUUUAAAUAAACUAAUAUUUCAAAAAAUAAACUUUUAAGAGAUAGACUCUAUUAUGACACUGAAGAUGUUAUCAGAAACCUAAUGUAAUGUAGAUCUAUAUCUUUAAUGAAACAAGUACUUCUCUUUUUUUUUUAAUUUAUCUUUUAAAAAAAUGUUGUUUAUUUAUUUGACACAGAGAGAGAGAGAGAGAGAACACAAGCAGGGGAGCAGCAGGGAGGGAGAAACAAGCUCCCUACUGAGCAAAGAACCUAACGCGGAGCUCAAUCCCAGGACCUCAGGAUCCUGACCUAAUCAGGAUCAUGGCCUGAGCCAAAGGCAGAUGCUUAACCAAUUAAGCCACUGGGUGCCCCUAAAUUUAUUUUUUUAUUUAUGUUUUUAGUAAUCUCUACACCCAACAUGGGGCUUGAACUCAUGACCCCAAGAUCAAGAGUUGCACAUUCUUCUGUUUGAGACAGGCAGGUGCCCCAAAACAAGUGCUUUUCAUAUUUGUUUCACUGUGUCAGUUUCUACCAUAUAUGUGGAUACAAUUUUGCUCAGAAGUGUAUUGCAAAUAUUUCAAACAUAGAUGUUGGAAGACAGAGUUUCUCUAAAUGUAUUUUCUGAUGUCUAAAGUCAUAAUACUUACAGAGUCAGGUAGGGAUGGAGGCAAAUUGCUCUCAUUCUGUCCUUUCCCUUUUUGCUUUGGAGAGAAUUCCACAGCUCCCCACAUAUGCAGUUUGAGAGUUCAACUGUGUGUAGGCAAGUUCACAGGAAAUGGAAAGUGAUUUGAUCUGGGCAGGACUGAGUAGCAAAAAUGAAAGGUUAGAAAUGGGGAAAACCCAGGUUAAAUUAUAAAUUAUAAAAACUCGCAAACAUAAGUAAUUUGAACUUAAUGCACAAAUUGAACUAGCAGUGGUCCUACCAAGGAUGCUUUCUGUUUUAGCUCCGUCCACUGACCUGCCCCCAAACCACCCCAAAUACUAUCACUCUACACAAGAACUGUAUAUCAACUGUGUAAAUAUAUCCUCAAGUAAUGUUCUGUAGCCCAGAGCUGCACCCACACUCCUUCUACUCAUUUUUUUUCUUAUGUCAAAUUUGUCUUUUAGAGAUAUUCUGAAGCCACUAGUGGGAAUUAGCUACUGUCCUUCAGGAAGCAGAAUUGUAUAGUUGUGAUAGGAUCUUAGAGCCUACAAGCUAUAAUAUUUACUACUUAGCCCUUUACAGAAAAUAUUUGUUCUUUAUUGCACAAAGUUUAUAUAUAUUCAUUUAUUGCCUGAGUGCUUAUUAAACAGUUACUAUAUA
This is a long non-coding RNA of Mustela lutreola (European mink), 2560 nucleotides long. RefSeq lists it as uncharacterized. NCBI's taxonomy places the organism in Eukaryota, Metazoa, Chordata, Mammalia, Carnivora, Mustelidae. The transcript is spliced from 2 exons. The record is from RefSeq and is a predicted model, not a curated record.